CCUCCCUUUGCCUCCCCCAGCAGCCUAAACCCCAGCAGAGCAGCGUGGGGUGCUGACUGCCUGGCAUUCGGUCUUCCUCAUGCUCAAUGGCCCAGUUGUCUGUUGCUCAGAAGUGCAGAUAACAAUGUAAUUCAAGCAAAGAUUUCAAAAGAGACUCACAGACACGUUGCCUUACACCUUUUUUACCUGCUCACUGUUUAAACUGAGAAAAAGACAGAACUGGGGGACUUCAGCUCCUGAAUAUUUCACAAGUGUGUCUCUGUUCUGCAACACAGCCAGAGCCACCUUCAGAGAAAAGGAACAUAGCAAGAAGGCAGAAACAGAGCCCUCAUCAGACACAACAUGCUGGCACCUUAAUAUUGGAAUUCUGGCCUCCAGGACUAUGAGAAGAUACAUGUCAGGUUCUCCAGAAGCAGAUGCAGAAAUAACAUCUAGAGUGUGGGGUGUUGAUUAAGGAUGAAUUUCUGUGAGCAGAAGAGAAAAAAGAGGAGAUAGAGGAAGAAGGUGAACUUCCUCGUGGGAACAACCAUGCCUCAGUAACCCCAGGAUCUCCGGAGGGAGGACUGGACAAAUCACACCUAACAGCGUGUCCUGUGUCACAGUAAAAUGGGCAGGUGUUUAUUGCCACUUGGCUCAGUCACAAAAUGCCUUGGCCCUGGGAAGGACAGGAGAACUGCAGGCAGAGCAGUUCUCUGCAGGGCGGGUGGAAGCUGAAGGAGCUGACAGCCAAAUGCUGUUUACAGACCACACUCCCUACUCCUGGGCAGGCAAGUCUGGACUUCAAGGGGAAGGUCAGCGACUCAGCCUCUUAUGACUUCCACACUUCCUUGCAGGUAUGACUUUGCAUCAGCUGGUCAUAAACACCCCUCACAAUGAUGAAAGCAAUGGACUCUGUCUCUGAAGAGAAAUGUGUGAGUGCCCACUGAUAAGUAUGUCACCAACAACUUCAAAAAUUGUUCAUAAGUGUUCCAAAACCCGCCCACAAGUUUUUACAGUGGAUAAACCUAAUUAGGGUUAACUUGACAUUGAAUUUUAUUUUCUUACUGCAUUUAAAUUCACAUCCAACUGUAUUUCAAUAAAAUCUCAAAAUCAAAAUGAU
Molecule: long non-coding RNA, 1099 nt
Filed under: Homo sapiens (human)
Lineage: Eukaryota; Metazoa; Chordata; Mammalia; Primates; Hominidae
Description: HSALNT0215610
Source: RNAcentral